UACGGGAGGCAGCAGUGGGGAAUAUUGCACAAUGGGCGCAAGCCUGAUGCAGCCAUGCCGCGUGUAUGAAAAAGGCCUUCGGGUUGUAAAGUACUUUCAGUCGUGAGGAAGGUGUUAAGGUUAAUAACCUUAGCAAUUGACGUUAGCGACAGAAGAAGCACCGGCUAACUCCGUGCCAGCAGCCGCGGUAAUACGGAGGGUGCGAGCGUUAAUCGGAAUUACUGGGCGUAAAGGGCACGCAGGCGGUUAAUUAAGUUGGAUGUGAAAUCCCCGGGCUUAACCUGGGAAUGGCAUUCAAGACUGGUUAGCUAGAGUCUUGUAGAGGGGGUAGAAUUCCAUGUGUAGCGGUGAAAUGCGUAGAGAUGUGGAGGAAUACCGGUGGCGAAGGCGGCCCCUGGACAAAGGCUGACGCUCAUGUGCGAAAGCGUGGGGAGCAAACAGGGAUUAGAUACC
Molecule: ribosomal RNA, 453 nt
Filed under: uncultured bacterium
Lineage: Bacteria
Description: bacterial SSU rRNA
Rfam family: Bacterial small subunit ribosomal RNA
Source: RNAcentral